RNAcentral lists this ribosomal RNA (425 nucleotides) under uncultured bacterium. RNAcentral's name for it is "bacterial SSU rRNA". It matches the Rfam family "Bacterial small subunit ribosomal RNA", at positions 28 to 418 of the family's 1533-position model. The record is from RNAcentral.
GACGAACGCUGGCGGCGUGCUUAACACAUGCAAGUCGAACGGAGCGCCAUGGAAUGAGGUUUCGGCCAAAGGAAAUGGUUGCUUAGUGGCGGACUGGUGAGUAACGCGUGAGGAACCUGCCUUUCAGAGGGGGACAACAGUUGGAAACGACUGCUAAUACCGAAUACGCUUGGGAGACCGCAUGAUCUACCAAGGAAAGGGUGGCCUCUACCUGUAAGCUAUCGCCUGAAGAGGGGUUUGCGUCUGAUUAGGCAGUUGGUGAGGUAACGGCCCACCAAACCUACGAUCAGUAGCCGGUCUGAGAGGAUGAACGGCCACACUGGAACUGAGACACGGUCCAGACUCCUACGGGAGGCAGCAGUGGGGAAUCUUCCGCAAUGGGCGAAAGCCUGACGGAGCAACGCCGCGUGAGUGAUGACGGCCUU